UGGCCGCGGUAUUUUGACCGUGCGAAGGUAGCAUAAUCAGUUGUCUUUUAAUUGAAGGCUGGAAUGAAAGGUUGCACGAGAAAAAAUCUGUAUUAAUUAUAAGUUUUGAAUUUUCUUUUAAGUGAAAAGGCUUAAAUAUUUUAAAGGGACGAUAAGACCCUAUAAAGCUUUACAAUUUAAUUUUAUUAAAUGAUUUUCAGUUUAAAGUAAAUUAAAAUAAUUUUGUUUGAUUGGGGUGAUUAUUAUAUAUCAAAUGUAAAUAACUGUAAAUUGAAUAAAUAGUGAUAAUUAGUCUAUUGAUCCUUUUUUAAAGAUUAAAAGAUAAAGUUACUUUAGGGAUAACAGCGUAAUUUUUUCAGAGAGUUCUUAUCGAAGAAAGUAGUUGCGACCUCGAUGUUGAAUUAAAAUUUCUAUUAAAUGUAGCAGUUUAAGUAGUUGGUCUGUUCGACCAUUAAAGUUUU
Molecule: ribosomal RNA, 461 nt
Filed under: Thor amboinensis
Lineage: Eukaryota; Metazoa; Arthropoda; Malacostraca; Decapoda; Hippolytidae
Description: partial 16S ribosomal RNA
Rfam family: Bacterial large subunit ribosomal RNA
Source: RNAcentral